UAACAAGUUUUUCUUGAAACUACAUUUAUUCAAUUAAAAGGAUUAU
Molecule: non-coding RNA, 46 nt
Organism: Otolemur garnettii (small-eared galago)
Lineage: Eukaryota; Metazoa; Chordata; Mammalia; Primates; Galagidae
Source: Rfam